This 61-nucleotide transfer RNA is filed under the name Toxocara canis (dog roundworm). It matches the Rfam family "tRNA". From Rfam's summary of the family: Transfer RNA (tRNA) molecules are approximately 80 nucleotides in length. Lineage: Eukaryota; Metazoa; Nematoda; Chromadorea; Rhabditida; Toxocaridae. The record is from Rfam by way of RNAcentral.
CGGGCAGUAGCUCAGUGGUAGAGCUCACGGGAAGACGCGGGUUCGAUUCCCGGCUGCUUGA